This is a non-coding RNA of Nematostella vectensis (starlet sea anemone), 191 nucleotides long. NCBI's taxonomy places the organism in Eukaryota, Metazoa, Cnidaria, Anthozoa, Actiniaria, Edwardsiidae. The record is from Rfam.
UCUCGACCACGGAUGGGAACUUACGGCAGUUUUAUCAGGUAAAGCGAAUGAUUAGAGGUCUUAGGGUUAAAACAACCUUAACCUAUUCUCAAACUUUAAAUUGGUAAGAAGUCCGACUUGCUUAAUUGAAGCCGGACAGUGAAUGCGAGUUCCUAGUGNGCCAUUUUUGGUAAGCAGAACUGGCGAUGCAG